UUAAGCGACUAAGCGUACACGGUGGAUGCCCUGGCAGUCAGAGGCGAUGAAGGACGUGCUAAUCUGCGAUAAGCGUCGGUAAGGUGAUAUGAACCGUUAUAACCGGCGAUUUCCGAAUGGGGAAACCCAGUGUGAUUCGUCACACUAUCAUUAACUGAAUCCAUAGGUUAAUGAGGCGAACCGGGGGAACUGAAACAUCUAAGUACCCCGAGGAAAAGAAAUCAACCGAGAUUCCCCCAGUAGCGGCGAGCGAACGGGGAGCAGCCCAGAGCCUGAAUCAGUGUGUGUGUUAGUGGAAGCGUCUGGAAAGGCGCGCGAUACAGGGUGACAGCCCCGUACACAAAAAUGCACAUACUGUGAGCUCGAUGAGUAGGGCGGGACACGUGGUAUCCUGUCUGAAUAUGGGGGGACCAUCCUCCAAGGCUAAAUACUCCUGACUGACCGAUAGUGAACCAGUACCGUGAGGGAAAGGCGAAAAGAACCCCGGCGAGGGGAGUGAAAAAGAACCUGAAACCGUGUACGUACAAGCAGUGGGAGCACGCUUAGGCGUGUGACUGCGUACCUUUUGUAUAAUGGGUCAGCGACUUAUAUUCUGUAGCAAGGUUAACCGAAUAGGGGAGCCGAAGGGAAACCGAGUCUUAACUGGGCGUUAAGUUGCAGGGUAUAGACCCGAAACCCGGUGAUCUAGCCAUGGGCAGGUUGAAGGUUGGGUAACACUAACUGGAGGACCGAACCGACUAAUGUUGAAAAAUUAGCGGAUGACUUGUGGCUGGGGGUGAAAGGCCAAUCAAACCGGGAGAUAGCUGGUUCUCCCCGAAAGCUAUUUAGGUAGCGCCUCGUGAAUUCAUCUCCGGGGGUAGAGCACUGUUUCGGCAAGGGGGUCAUCCCGACUUACCAACCCGAUGCAAACUGCGAAUACCGGAGAAUGUUAUCACGGGAGACACACGGCGGGUGCUAACGUCCGUCGUGAAGAGGGAAACAACCCAGACCGCCAGCUAAGGUCCCAAAGUCAUGGUUAAGUGGGAAACGAUGUGGGAAGGCCCAGACAGCCAGGAUGUUGGCUUAGAAGCAGCCAUCAUUUAAAGAAAGCGUAAUAGCUCACUGGUCGAGUCGGCCUGCGCGGAAGAUGUAACGGGGCUAAACCAUGCACCGAAGCUGCGGCAGCGACGCUGAUGCGUUGUUGGGUAGGGGAGCGUUCUGUAAGCCUGCGAAGGUGUGCUGUGAGGCAUGCUGGAGGUAUCAGAAGUGCGAAUGCUGACAUAAGUAACGAUAAAGCGGGUGAAAAGCCCGCUCGCCGGAAGACCAAGGGUUCCUGUCCAACGUUAAUCGGGGCAGGGUGAGUCGACCCCUAAGGCGAGGCCGAAAGGCGUAGUCGAUGGGAAACAGGUUAAUAUUCCUGUACUUGGUGUUACUGCGAAGGGGGGACGGAGAAGGCUAUGUUGGCCGGGCGACGGUUGUCCCGGUUUAAGCGUGUAGGCUGGUUUUCCAGGCAAAUCCGGAAAAUCAAGGCUGAGGCGUGAUGACGAGGCACUACGGUGCUGAAGCAACAAAUGCCCUGCUUCCAGGAAAAGCCUCUAAGCAUCAGGUAACAUCAAAUCGUACCCCAAACCGACACAGGUGGUCAGGUAGAGAAUACCAAGGCGCUUGAGAGAACUCGGGUGAAGGAACUAGGCAAAAUGGUGCCGUAACUUCGGGAGAAGGCACGCUGAUAUGUAGGUGAAGUCCCUCGCGGAUGGAGCUGAAAUCAGUCGAAGAUACCAGCUGGCUGCAACUGUUUAUUAAAAACACAGCACUGUGCAAACACGAAAGUGGACGUAUACGGUGUGACGCCUGCCCGGUGCCGGAAGGUUAAUUGAUGGGGUCAGCGCAAGCGAAGCUCUUGAUCGAAGCCCCGGUAAACGGCGGCCGUAACUAUAACGGUCCUAAGGUAGCGAAAUUCCUUGUCGGGUAAGUUCCGACCUGCACGAAUGGCGUAAUGAUGGCCAGGCUGUCUCCACCCGAGACUCAGUGAAAUUGAACUCGCUGUGAAGAUGCAGUGUACCCGCGGCAAGACGGAAAGACCCCGUGAACCUUUACUAUAGCUUGACACUGAACAUUGAGCCUUGAUGUGUAGGAUAGGUGGGAGGCUUUGAAGUGUGGACGCCAGUCUGCAUGGAGCCGACCUUGAAAUACCACCCUUUAAUGUUUGAUGUUCUAACGUUGACCCGUGAUCCGGGUUGCGGACAGUGUCUGGUGGGUAGUUUGACUGGGGCGGUCUCCUCCUAAAGAGUAACGGAGGAGCACGAAGGUUGGCUAAUCCUGGUCGGACAUCAGGAGGUUAGUGCAAUGGCAUAAGCCAGCUUGACUGCGAGCGUGACGGCGCGAGCAGGUGCGAAAGCAGGUCAUAGUGAUCCGGUGGUUCUGAAUGGAAGGGCCAUCGCUCAACGGAUAAAAGGUACUCCGGGGAUAACAGGCUGAUACCGCCCAAGAGUUCAUAUCGACGGCGGUGUUUGGCACCUCGAUGUCGGCUCAUCACAUCCUGGGGCUGAAGUAGGUCCCAAGGGUAUGGCUGUUCGCCAUUUAAAGUGGUACGCGAGCUGGGUUUAGAACGUCGUGAGACAGUUCGGUCCCUAUCUGCCGUGGGCGCUGGAGAAUUGAGGGGGGCUGCUCCUAGUACGAGAGGACCGGAGUGGACGCAUCACUGGUGUUCGGGUUGUCAUGCCAAUGGCACUGCCCGGUAGCUAAAUGCGGAAGAGAUAAGUGCUGAAAGCAUCUAAGCACGAAACUUGCCCCGAGAUGAGUUCUCCCUGACUCCUUGAGAGUCCUGAAGGAACGUUGAAGACGACGACGUUGAUAGGCCGGGUGUGUAAGCGCAGCGAUGCGUUGAGCUAACCGGUACUAAUGAACCGUGAGGCUUAACCUU
RNAcentral lists this ribosomal RNA (2902 nucleotides) under Escherichia coli. Its description in RNAcentral is "bacterial LSU rRNA". It matches the Rfam family "Bacterial large subunit ribosomal RNA". RNAcentral also lists the same sequence under 1 other name. Lineage: Bacteria; Pseudomonadati; Pseudomonadota; Gammaproteobacteria; Enterobacterales; Enterobacteriaceae. The record is from RNAcentral.